AAGUCGUAACAAGGUUUCCGUAGGUGAACCUGCGGAAGGAUCAUUAUUGAAGUCGCUGAGAGACUUGUUGCUGGCCCUCUGGGGCAUACUGUGCACAGUCUCUCUCACUUUAUCAACCACCUGUGCACCAUUUGUAGUCUUUCCGAUGCUUUCUUCAGUCUUUUUCCGACUGAUGUGGGGACUCUAGCUGUGUGUGUGCGCUGUGCGUUAAGCAAGCGUUACCAGCUUCAGUUCAAUAUCUGACAAGGACUAUCUGUUACAUAUAACUCUGUCAAUGUCUAAGAAUGAAUAUCAUGGUCAUUGAGUUGGCCUUAAUAAAUACAACUUUCAACAACGGAUCUCUUGGCUCUC
This 351-nucleotide unclassified non-coding RNA is filed under the name fungal sp. RNAcentral's name for it is "partial internal transcribed spacer region". The stretch from base 1 to 46 matches the Rfam family "Eukaryotic small subunit ribosomal RNA", at positions 1786 to 1831 of the family's 1831-position model. The record is from RNAcentral. Lineage: Eukaryota; Fungi.